AAUAAAAUAUGACAAUCUGCUCUGAGACUGAGGCUCCAACAUCCUGUCAUGUGGCGGGUCGGCCACACGGAGGCGCUGCAGCGCUGUAAAAAUUAGAAAGGUUAAAGGUUCAGUUCACUCAAAUGUGUUUUUGGUUUAGUUUGGUUCGUGACUUCCUGUCCUCAGAGCCGCCGCGGCCGCUCAGCUGUUUCCACCGGAUGUGACACCACAGAAGAAGAAGAAGAGGAGGAGGAUGACGACACUGAAGACGUGAACUUGUGACAGGACGAACGCUUCAGUGUCUGUUGACCUGUGACCCCGGAUCCUCCAGAGGUCAAGGGUCGUGUUUUGAUCACUUGACAAAACCUGAAAGCAGUUUGAAGGCCACUUCCGGUUUCCUCUCGCAUCGCGUCGGUCGAACACGGUGAACUUGACUCUGCGGCUCCGGAGGACGCGGCGCGGCGGAGGUUGUGCUCCGGUCGGUGCUGCACCGACGGUCGGUGACCGGACACACCGACGACCUGAUUGAAGACUGCACCACGUGACAGACGAGGAACCUGCAGCGCCGCAGACGACAUGUUGAUCAGCUGGUGUCGGUCUCACAGAGCGACAGACAGAAAACGAUGUUGUUACAGUCUGUUGUUACAGACACGUCAGUCGCUCGACUGGAAUGAAAUCCACAACUAUUUAAAUAGUCAAAUCAUCUCCUCAGUCUCUCUGAGACUAUUCAGAUGUGAGGAUUUCAGUUUUUUGUUCUCGUCCACCUGGGAGCACCGAUUGGACGGUACCAGCUGUCACUCACACUGACAGAACCCUGAUCUGGACCUCGUGAGCCUCAUGUCUGUGAUCGUGGCUCUGGACUCUGUGAGCUCGUCCUGUGUGACUGAUGAAGACUCUGAUGAUGAUGAAGACUGGUGAAGACUCUGAUGAUGAUGAAGACUGGUGAAGACUGAUGAUGAUGAAGACUGGUGAAGACUCUGAUGAUGAUGAAGAC
Molecule: long non-coding RNA, 973 nt
Organism: Scophthalmus maximus (turbot)
Lineage: Eukaryota; Metazoa; Chordata; Actinopteri; Pleuronectiformes; Scophthalmidae
Exons: 3
Source: RefSeq, a predicted model, not a curated record